This 253-nucleotide ribosomal RNA is filed under the name uncultured bacterium. RNAcentral's name for it is "partial 16S ribosomal RNA". It matches the Rfam family "Bacterial small subunit ribosomal RNA", at positions 524 to 776 of the family's 1533-position model. The record is from RNAcentral.
UACAGAGGGGGCAAGCGUUGUUCGGAAUUACUGGGCGUAAAGAGCGCGUAGGCGGGUCUUUAAGUGAGGGGUGAAAGGUUCGGGCUCAACCCGGACACUGCCUUUCAUACUGGGGACCUUGAGUGCGGGAGGGGCGAGUGGAAUGGUCGGUGUAGCGGUGAAAUGCGUAGAUAUCGAUCGGAACACCCAUGGCGAAGGCAGCUCGCUGGCCUGCAACUGACGCUGAGGCGCGAAAGCUGGGGGAGCAAACAGG